UAAAUUAAUAAUGUGGAGCACAGGAAACGGACAAGAAGAGACAAGAGAGGAGGCAAAACAUUUACCAAUGCAAACUUUAACUAACGUCAACAAAUUAGUUUUAAUACAGCAAUGAGGUCUACAUGAAGAGGAAAAUGGACUGCUUCCAGAUGAGGACAAAUGUAGACGUCAUCAGAGAAUCAUAUCUUCAAACAACAGGUCUGACUCUUCCAUCAUUAUCCUGUGGAUAUCUUAACCCACUAACAGGGACAAAGAUAGCAAAGAUGCGAUGGACUGUUUAUGGAUCAGAAAGAGUGGUCCUCGAUGUCUUCAGCUUGAGUUCUAGACCCAGUGAAGUCUAAUGGUAUCACAAAUACUGGCAAGGGAUCGUUUGACCACCACCUGUGCCUUUUCUCAGCUGAUGAAUCACAGGUCCUCCAUGUUGGCCAACACUUGGACGAUGGAUUGAAAGUGGCAAAGGCACUGAAUGAAGACUGGGUGGGGAACUUUAAGUUCCAUCACCGAAAAAGGCACAGUAGCACCACAAUUGGUAAGCAGUCUGAAUCCAGAUAGAAAUAGCUGCCGAAAUGAGUCUGACAGCAACAAUCCUAUCUAUCUCAGCAAUACUCAUCCUCAGCAAUGUACCGGUAGAAGAUACAUCGGAACAUAACAGCUUUGGUAGAAGUGAUGACCCGGCGUUCUUGUGCAGUCUAUGUCGCACCUUCACAUUGUGUUGUAUGUCAAUCAUUCUUAGACAAUCCUUUGGCAUUUAAGAUGAUGGCUUCCACUCAUGUUCUUUCAGUUUCAAGGAGGCUGGUGAGGCCAAUUUGAAUCUAAAGACCCUGCCGCAAGUGGAGCAGCAGGAGUUGAAUGAGCCAGGUGGGUAGUUGAGGAAGUGAGAUGCUCCUUCCACCAUUUCCGCUGUGUUUUGUGUGCAGGGUUACAAGAUCUUCAGUACUCAUACAGGUUUUUCUCAUCUAUUUUGAUCAGUCACAUCAUUGUAGUUGUUGUAGUUUCCCCAGGAAGUUUGAAAAUGUUCUUAAAUUGGUCCUCUGCCUUCCUGAUAGUCUAUUGCCUUGAUGGAAGCCAGGGCAGUGUGGCUGCUCGUUGAGUCUGAUAUUGGACAUGAAAACAAUGUUGCCUGCCCAUCAUGCAAAAUGGAAUAGAUUCCCAACAGACAUGACAGAUCAAUAUUGGGCAUUCCUGGGGCAAAGUGGGUCAUCAUCAGCAGUAGGAAUGUACAUUGCUACUAUCUGUAAUCUCUUGCCCCAGCAGAUUGCUCAUUCAGCUGUUGCAAUCAAGGCAGGAGAUUAACC
This is a long non-coding RNA of Amblyraja radiata (thorny skate), 1295 nucleotides long. RefSeq lists it as uncharacterized. Lineage: Eukaryota; Metazoa; Chordata; Chondrichthyes; Rajiformes; Rajidae. The transcript is spliced from 3 exons. The record is from RefSeq and is a predicted model, not a curated record.